Triticum aestivum (bread wheat) is the source of this 4698-nucleotide RNA transcript. RefSeq lists it as uncharacterized. The transcript has 3 exons. Lineage: Eukaryota; Viridiplantae; Streptophyta; Magnoliopsida; Poales; Poaceae. The record is from RefSeq and is a predicted model, not a curated record.
GCUUAUGCACCCGCGUCUGCCCUAUAGUGCUGAUGGGUGGACAGAAGUUUCUCUGGUCCCAUUCGUCGGUGGCCCUGGCUGCGCCUCUCGUCGCGGUCGGGAUUCGCCCGUGCGCUGCGCUCGCUCUACGGAACGUGCAAAAGGGUCAAAACCCUAGCCGCCAGCAGUUCUCGUCAAGCUCGCGCCCCCUCUGCCUCGUCUCCUCCCUGCUCCCUCCUCUCCCAUGACGCCGCCCUCGAGCCCGCGCCGCCUCCACCUCGUCUCCUCCCUUCUCCCUCCUCUACAACGCUGCCGCCCUCGAUGCGCCGUAAGGGACGCCGUUGACACGUCGGGGAUACGCAGCGGCGGAGCUCAGCCGAGCACAGCAGAAACCCACUCCUAACCCUAUUUGCUCGAUUGACAAGAGCAGGGCAACGGAUUGGAUCGAGGGCGCCCUGGCCUCACUGCCGCUGCACCUGGAUUCUCUAGCCGCUGCGUGGAGUCGCCCUGGCCACCGCGUCGAGUCACCUUCGUCGCCGCCGCGAGUCAGCUCCACUGUUGCCGCCAGGAAUCCCUUCCUGACAAGAGGGUCUCCGCCGGUGUCGGCCUGCACCGGUGAGGUCGGGCGCGACCUGGCUUCCAGGGCGGCUUGACUACAGUCUACAGAGCAGUAAAAAAUGGGAGGAUUUGGGAGCUGCUCCGUUUUGGAUAUGGGGGCUGCACGGGCUUGGAGCAGCAAGCCAUGGCAACGAAGGUGAAUAAAACACAUACUUGUACUGUAAAUAAGGUUUUUUCAUAGUGACACCGACAAAGCUUAUGCAUGAGAUAGCGCAUCAUUGAAUUUUGUUAUUCAGUUUUGUAGCAUUUAUGCCAUAGCAAGGUGCAGGAUAAAUGCCCCUCUUGACCUAUUCUAUUUUGGAAUAAGGUUGCGCCAGAUUUUAUUCAAAUGAACAUUGUAAAGUAUGUACUGUCAUGUUCUAGAUACGUCGAAAUUUCAGACCAAACAAGUUUCCUACUUCUCCCCUUCAUGAUCUCUUCAUUUUUUUCUUAAUAUCAUUUAGUUUCCAUUUGUAUUUUUGUGAUUGGUAGAUAAAAGCUUGCGCAGUUGCACUUGGCGUUUAUGUUACUAUAUAUUCAACUAAUUGUACAAGAACCAUCUUAACAGAUCCAUUAUUUAUCUGUCUCCCUGUACUUAAGGCCUAUGUUGUAAGGUUCAGUGGUCAAUUGGAGUUUUAAUUUCCUAGCUGUAGCUCUAAAUAAGGUUUCCUUUGUUAUGCAGUAUAUCCAUAUUAUAAUUAGAGGAGAGGAGUUGUACUGCCUUGCACAUAAUGCAUUUUAAUUCCUUAUUUCUCACAUCCCGAAAGUCACAUUACAUCUAUGAACCAGAAGAACUAGAGGUAUGAAACUCCUAAGAGGAAAUAUUCGCCUCCCUUCCGAUCUUCAGAUCUCCAUAUUUGGUGAAUGCGGUGUUUUGGUUUCGUUGGAUUACUAUCUCUAUUUGGGGUUUAGAUAUGAAUUGAUGUUUUAGUUCGAGCGUGGAUACUCGGCAGUGGUGAUUUAGAUAUUUUUGUAGAACAGAAUAGUUAACUCGGUCUAUUUCUGGAGAACUGCAGUGUAGAUGAUAUAUGUAUGAGCGAUCGUAACACUGAAAAUGCAAAAUUUACAGUAUGGUGUAAUGAUGGUCGGUGGGGUGACUUUUUUGAUGGCAUUGCCCAAUGCAGUUUUUGGAUUUCUACUGAGUGGUACUGUGUUUUGAGAUUUGUUUUUUUGUGUUGCUAUCUGCAGGAAAGUUCCUAGGGAUUUGAUUGAUGGAGGCAUCACUAUUUGGAGCUGGAUUAUCCAUUUUUGCAGCAUCAGCAAUGUUGUUUUCGUUUGGAAUGGCCAUUUCUCAAUUUCUAAAUCGGCUAUACUAUACUUCUUGUCAGGUUACAUUAUCUUGCUUGGUUUCAGUCUAUAUGUAGCACAGCAAUAGGUGACAUGGUUGGUUUGUAUGUUACACUAAGGAACACCACCAUAAGGAAAAGGGCAUUGCACUUUGUUUAUAUUUGGUCUGUUCCUAUUCAGUUUGCUGUAGUACUUGCUACACCAUUUGAAGUUUCUUACUGUUUGCUUCUUGCUGUUUCAUUGUAUUCAGUUAUGAUAUAUUUUUCAACUAUACAAGCACUUGGGUAAGUCAGGAAAACUGAACCAACGACAAACAUUUUACUGGUGAUGUUUUUUAUCUGAGAUGUGAAAGAUGCAUCUUGUCCCCUGAUAUAUUGGCUUAAUCUCUUGAUUUUUUCCCUGACAUGCUAAUAUAGAGCCAGAUAUGCAUGAUUCAUCAUACACAUUACAGCCAAUUAUCCAUUGGUUCUUUUAUCCAUAGAGGUGAUUUUGUUUGGACCAUUAGUCUAGGUAGUGACAUUUUGAUCGAUAAGGCACAAGUUUAUUUUCUUUUUCACUCGGGCUACACUAAAGUAAGCAUCACCGUUAGUGAAAAGAAGGCAUACAAAUCAUGAAGUCUUUGCCUUGGCUAUGUGCCUCGUUUAGUUGUCACUUAUUUAUUUCUGGGAAGUUAUUAAAUUCUCAUCGAGCUUUCCUUAUGCUUUACAUUGCUAAAGAAGAAAUUUAAAUACGCAAUAUUUUUGAUAUCCGAGGAGGUGAGAGGAGAUGAAAAAGGGUUGUAAUGUGUAAGGUUGUACUUUGGCGCGUCUCUGGCCAAUGAUGGCUGGAUCCAUCUGACGCUCUUCCAAGCAGAGCAGUGCAGAUUUGCUGACUAGUACAACAUCUAAACCUUGGCUACUCUAGCUUCUUUUUACAUCUCUUAGUAUCAACAAAUAAGUUGGUUACAGUAUAUACUUGAAGAUUGCAUCAGGCACAAAAUGCUUGGCUAAUCAACCGGUUAAUUGAGUUGUGCCUACGAAGGAUCAGUAGAAUAGUUGGUUUCUUCUAAAAUAAAUGAGGAUUAGUUUGGUUGCCAUGUAACGGUAAGGCCAGAAUGGUGGUACUGAAAAGUGGUUCUGUAAUGGUCAUAUGAGUUGUGGAGUUGGAACUUGAUUCUUUUUAAGUUGGAGUGGCUAGGUUGUCUAUAUGUAUUGCAUUAUUUUUCUACGGCGUGCUGUUCUUUCUAAUGAUUUUUUUAAAAGUUUAGUAUUUAAGUUUACGGCAUUAUUCUGCGGCAUACUGUUCUUUCUACAACAUACUGUUAAUAUCUUAUUCUUUUCAACAUUACACGGUUAAAACCUUCUGUAUAAGAUCUUGCGCUUUCAACAUCUGCUCAUGGCGCUGUGCGUAUUCUGCCAUGAACUGUUUACAUUAGAGAGUUGUGGUACCUUCAUUUGUAUGAUUCCUUUUAGCUGAUGUUGGUUGCUCAUACUGACAAAAUGUGUGUUAACAAAUGAUUGCAGAGCAGCAGAGAAACGUGUUUCUACGAAUGUGCCAAAACUGAUGGAUUUAACUACAGGUAUUGCACUAUUAUUCUACAGGUAUCGUUGUAUUGCAUUAUCCAACUGUAAGUCUGUUCUAAACUCUAAGCCCGAUGUAAAUGUGAUGGAAGAUUGGGCCAUUUAAUUUGAACCAAAAAGGGUGAUAUGCUCUCAGUUGUUUGAAUCUGUCCAGACCUGAAAAUUAGAUAUACUUUGAAAGCUUGAUGUAUGAGUAGGAGAUAGUUGAUAAAGGUGUACUCUUGUAGGAGAUUAUUAGUUGAUUACCUGCUUCUAUGUGGUGAACAAAUGAGUAAGCAGUUUAGUUGAUAAAGGUGUAGGCAACACAGCAUUUUUGUUCCAUUUUUUGGUUUGUAAGUCAAGGAUGUUUAGCCUUUGUUGAAUAUGUUAAUUGUGAAACAGUUUUGAUGCAAUUUUUGAACCGUUCAGUCUGUUUUGUUUGUGCAGUUCAUGGUACCAUAUCUGCAGGCUACAUCUUGUGUAGAUUUGGCUACCACAUUAUAUGAUGUUGUUUCACUUUGCUCAGUCAAGGUUUCAGUAAAAAAAUGAAUUGAACAUAUUUUUGUAGACAUACAAAAACGGUCUGCAUUUUUUACAUCACCCUGACAUCCAAUUCAAACUAUAUUUUCUGCCUAGACUGUUGCAUACCUAUGAGAUCAUGGGAUAACUCAGACAUGAGCCGGUGUCCAGUGUGCAGUGAGGGUGAGUAAUGUGGCAUCAGCCUAUUGUGGACCUGUGUAUUAUACUCCUUCCGAUCAAAAUUAAGUGUCGUUGUUUUAGUUCAAAAACCACGACACUUAUUUUGGAUCGGAGGGAGAGCAUUUAAGAGAUUCCUUGCAUACACAUGAUUCAGAAAAGUACAGUGUGGGAUGCCAUUAUAAACUCAUGAAGUCUGAUCCUGGUAGUGACAUGAUUUACUCUGUUUGAUCAAAUAGGUCGAAGCCAAAGCUGUUCUUAUUGAAUCUCAUGAUGCCCCUGAUGCUUGCUGCUGUAAGCAAGAAAAUUGAGUACAAGUUUCAAUGUCAACCUGAGUUUUCAUUGUGGAUGUUUGAGAGUCAACCUGAAUUUUGAAAAGAACUUUUAGGAUGAUUAGCUAUAGUACUGUGACAAAUAAUCAGGAAAGAUAAUUUUGUAGGGUGAUCAUUGUCUUUCAUAAUAAUAUUAUAGCCGUCGGCCAAACAAUGAAGGUUGCACUACAACUACUCGACUACAAGUUUUAUGUGGAGUUUCUCUGUACAGCUUGCACGAACUCAGUGAGAUCAGGAAUCAUAAUUGCUCACAUUUUUUUCUCCUGAAA